UCGCGUUAAUGUCAAAUGUUAUAGAUAUUGAAGUUGAAAUGGUGAAAAUUAGUUCCAAGCAAUAUGGCUACAUGAAUAGUAUGAGAAAACAGCUCGCGCCUUUAAAUUGAUUUUUUUGCUAGAAAAGUGCACUUUAAUAAUUAAAAUUAUACUGCAAAACAGAGGUUCGGAUUAAAAAUUGGUUGAUGAGUCUGAAAAGUUAACUUGAAUUCCUGGGAAACUUGCUGCGGACAGAACAGUUUCGAUCGUCCGCAUCCUGCCAUAGCUGCUUAUAGUGGCUUCCGAAGUAUCUACCUAAAGAUUACUGCGGAUGACGACAAAGAUCCUAAAAUUAUCAAGGUGUUCCGGAUUGUGCACCGGAACCAAGGUUCGUCGAUCGCCCGAAAAGUUAAUUUUAACGUGUGAAGUCGAAAUGUGAUGUGAAAAAGUGAAAUGUUGGUUUAGGAGACCUAAAAUGUAAUUUGCAUUUAAAAAAUAAAAGCUAACAAUGUAUGUACUGUA
Molecule: long non-coding RNA, 501 nt
Organism: Culex quinquefasciatus (southern house mosquito)
Lineage: Eukaryota; Metazoa; Arthropoda; Insecta; Diptera; Culicidae
Exons: 2
Source: RefSeq, a predicted model, not a curated record